RNAcentral lists this ribosomal RNA (497 nucleotides) under uncultured bacterium. RNAcentral's name for it is "partial 16S ribosomal RNA". It matches the Rfam family "Bacterial small subunit ribosomal RNA", at positions 28 to 507 of the family's 1533-position model. The record is from RNAcentral.
GAUGAACGCUGGCGGCGUGCCUAAUACAUGCAAGUCGAGCGAACAGAUGAGGAGCUUGCUCCUCUGACGUUAGCGGCGGACGCGUGAGUAACACGUGGAUAACCUACCUAUAAGACUGGGAUAACUUCGGGAAACCGGAGCUAAUACCGGAUAAUAUAUUGAACCGCAUGGUUCAAUAGUGAAAGACGGUUUUGCUGUCACUUAUAGAUGGAUCCGCGCCGCAUUAGCUAGUUGGUAAGGUAACGGCUUACCAAGGCAACUAUGCGUAGCCGACCGGAGGGGGUGAUCGGCCACACUGGAACUGAGACACGGUCCAGACUCCUACGGGAGGCAGCAGUAGGGAAUCUUCCGCAAUGGGCGAAAGCCUGACGGAGCAACACCGCGUGAGUGAUGAAGGUCUUCGGAUCGUAAAACUCUGUUAUUAGGGAAGAACAAAUGUGUAAGUAACUAUGCACGUCUUGACGGUACCUAAUCAGAAAGCCACGGCUAACUACGUG